CGCUGGCGGCGUGCUCAGACAUGCAAGUCGAACGAUUAAAGCUCUCUUCGGAGAGUGCAUAGAUGUGGCGCACGGGUGAGUAACACGUAAGUAAUCUACCCUCGAGUGGGGAAUAACGUCCGGAAACGGACGCUAAUACCGCAUAAUGCAGCGGCACCGCAAGGUGACAGUUGUUAAAGAUUUAUCGCUUGAGGAGGAGCUUGCGGCAGAUUAGCUAGUUGGUAAGGUAAUGGCUUACCAAGGCUACGAUCUGUAACCGGUCUAAGAGGACGGUCGGUCACACUGACACUGAAUAACGGGUCAGACUCCUACGGGAGGCAGCAGUCGGGAAUUUUGGGCAAUGGGCGAAAGCCUGACCCAGCAACGCCGCGUGAAGGAUGAAGUAUUUCGGUAUGUAAACUUCGAAAGAAUAGGAAGAAUAAAUGACGGUACUAUUUAUAAGGUCCGGCUAACUACGUGCCAGCAGCCGCGGUAAUACGUAGGGACCAAGCGUUGUUCGGAUUUACUGGGCGUAAAGGGCGCGUAGGCGGCGUGGUAAGUCACUUGUGAAAUCUCUGAGCUUAACUCAGAACGGCCAAGUGAUACUGCUGUGCUAGAGUGCAGAAGGGGCAAUCGGAAUUCUUGGUGUAGCGGUGAAAUGCGUAGAUAUCAAGAGGAACACCUGAGGUGAAGACGGGUUGCUGGGCUGACACUGACGCUGAGGCGCGAAAGCCAGGGGAGCAAACGGGA
RNAcentral lists this ribosomal RNA (729 nucleotides) under uncultured bacterium. RNAcentral's name for it is "bacterial SSU rRNA". It matches the Rfam family "Bacterial small subunit ribosomal RNA", at positions 34 to 777 of the family's 1533-position model. The record is from RNAcentral.